GCAGUCUUUACUAAAACGGUCAUAACUUGAGCUCCCGAACUCAAAAUCGAAUGAUUCAAAAUGCGUUUCGAAGUUAAGAGAUAAAUCUUCAAACGCCAUGAGACAUCUCAACCCAGAAAUGUCAAGAUCCCAUCCAAAAAGUCGUCGAAAGUCUGUUGAUUUCCCAAGCCUGAAAAUUGGCAAUUUUGAUAAUUGGAAUCUAAUAUAUUUCACCCCAUUUAUGCAUGUAUCAUAAUACAGUUGCACAAUCUACAGAAAAAGUUGAAUGUGUUGCAAUUAAUGUUGCUAUCAACAAGUUUUGUGGUUAAGAAAAGUUUUAAUGGAUUUGAAUCUAAAGCAAAAACGAUGCACAAAAAUGUUCAUUGAAGCACUUCAAUAUCAAAUUAUUUUCUCUUAGAGAAGUGCAUAAGGAAGGUUCAGUUGGUUAAAAAUAUUGCAAAUCUGAAGCUCAACUAUCUAGUAUAUUUUACAAAGUCCUUACUAAGAAGCAAGUUUGAGUUUCUUAGACCAAAACUUGGUGUUUACAACAACCAAAGUAAAGAGUAUUGAAGUUGUGUUUCAGCUAUCGCAAAAUUUGGUCAAAACAAAUUUUACUGAUUUUUCUUAAUUUUUAAAUCGUUUUAUUAUUAUUGUUGAUUUUAAAAAUUUGUUGAUCAUAAAAUAUGAUAGUUGCUUAAUUUUAGGAUGUAAUUAUAUUCAUUUUCAUGCAUUUAAACAACACUCCAACCCAAUAAAAAAGUUGACUUUACCAACAAUUAUUUCUAUCUUUCUUUUCUUUUUUUUUUUUGCCUCUUGAUCUUUAUUUUUGUUUCUUUAAAUUACAACAAAAUUUAUUCCAGCAUAUCCAAUAAAUCAAAAUUCAAACACGUCACCUACCAAUAAGUGAUCAUAGGUCCACGUAUAAUCGAAGCUCCCUUACCCCCCUCUCUAUGGGAGGAUUAGUAACUGAUCCCUUGCUGUAAUUAAUUCCCCUCCUUAUUCUAGUUACCUCAACUAUCAAAAUGCAUUUAUUCCCCGUAAAAGAUCCAUUCACAACCAAUAAUCUUUAAAAUCUGAGCUACUAAUGUUUUUCCUAGGAUGUUACACCUUCCUAAUGAAGAUUUGACAUCGUUACAUAUGAUUGUAAGCCAGCAAUCUUGUUGGAGGCCAAGACAGUUAAUACUUUAGUUCUAGAGAAAACUACCCCAUAAGACUGUCAAUGGUCGUCUAUAAAAUCAAUGCCAAAGUCCCCGCUAUACAAGUUGUUGAGCAAUUUAUCCAAUUGAAGAAUAUGGGGUUCAGUCUCUGAUUUUUUCCUAAAGGACACAGGAAAAACUCCGAUUCCGAUUUUUGGGGAAUACAUUGUUGCCAAAGAAGCGGGCAAGACCCUUUCAAAGUGUUCUUUGAAAUCCAAUCAGCGACUCGAUUACCAGUUCUAUCAACAUGCGAAAAAUAAAUAUCAGUAUUGGAUGUCCAUGAUAAAAUAUCUUCAAUAAUUAUAGACACAUCACACAUCCCAGGGAAUCUUCCUGUGCUUACCAUGGAUCAUGUUCAUAGCUUUCACGCAGUCAGACUCUAGGAUCACAUGUUACCAGCAAUUGCGAUUGAUGAGGACCGAACCUAACCUAAUCGUCCAGGUUUCGCUACGAACGCACUCGCUGAGUAUGUUUGUGCGUUGAUUCUGUCAAGAGAUUGCUAUUCCUUGCAACAGCCUCAUGACCAGCAGAUUUUAAGCUGACCAGCCGCAAAAGACAAAAACAGAGCAGAAAACAGCAGCAGGGAUACAGAAGCCAAACCAAAUCAAGCAAAAAACAGAGCAGAAAGACAAGAAGCCCUCACUCCAAGACCACUCCGAAAAGCAGAUAAACAUGAACAAAAACAGGGUGAACGAAAUCAAGAGAGUCGAGGGACAAAACUUACCUCAAAACCUCUGAACCAGAAAACGCGAGAAAGAAACCCCAAACUGGAAAAACAAAGCUGUAGACGCUCAGUAGAGAGAAAAAAAGUUCUACUCAAGGGAGAGAAAAUGGGGAGAAUCCCACCGGCGGGGAUGGAGAAAAUCGACCUUAUGAGUGGCGAUUUGUAAUAUUAUUUUUAAACCAUAAAUCGGGUUUGGUCUCUGAUUAUGACAAACAUCAGCACUGUCAGCUAUCAAGCGCAGGUGAAUGGUGACAAAGCAAGAGAGGUCUCAGACAAGGGAAUCAUCUUUAUUCUUGCUCAAAAUUCACUUCCCUUACCACUUCUGAAAACCGAAGCAACGGAGAUUCCUGGUAUGAAAAUUAGAAGGAAUACUCGGGUAAUAUCACAUUUUGUCUUUGCUGCUGAUGAUGUUUACAUUCUUUUCAGAUCUAAUGUCAUACUUGAUACUUGGCACAAGAGCUUUCAGGUUGCCACCCAAAGUCCCAAAAACAAUGACCUUAAAAAAAAUGGUACAAGAUCUAUACGACCCUCAAGGAAAGUUAUCUGGAGUGUCCUCGUUUAAAACUCAACGACAGUGUUCAUUAAUGAUUUUUACGAGUCGUAAAUUGACGAUGCCACGUUAGCAAGACACAUCGUCGAAAUCCUCUGGAAGGAUUUUCUUUUGAUUAUUGAUUUUACCUGUUUGUUUGUUUGAUUAUUGAUUUUCUUUAGUAGUACAGACAGAUGGGCCUCACUGAAAUUGUCCAACGAGAUAUGAGGUUUUGAUUCCGAAAACCCAACAGGAACGGGUCAAA
This 2693-nucleotide long non-coding RNA is filed under the name Gossypium barbadense (sea-island cotton). RNAcentral's name for it is "long non-coding RNA (GBAR_LNC003811)". Lineage: Eukaryota; Viridiplantae; Streptophyta; Magnoliopsida; Malvales; Malvaceae. The record is from RNAcentral.